CCCUUAGAUGUUCUGGGCCGCACGCGCGCUACACUGACGAAGUCAGCGAGCAUGUCCUACGCCGACAGGUGCGGGGAAUCUUGUCAAACUUCGUCGUGAUGGGGAUUGAUUAUUGAAAUUCUUGAUCAUCAACGAGGAAUUCCUAGUAAGCGCAAGUCAGCAGCUUGCGUUGAUUACGUCCCUGCCCUUUGUACACACCGCCCGUCGCUACAACCGAUUGAAUGGUUUAGUGAGAUCUUCGGAUUGGCGCCACUGCGGCUCAGCAAUGGGCUCGGUGGAUGCCGAAAAGUUGAUCAAACUUGAUCAUUUAGAGGAAGUAAAAGUCGUAACA
RNAcentral lists this ribosomal RNA (331 nucleotides) under uncultured eukaryote. Its description in RNAcentral is "partial 18S ribosomal RNA". It matches the Rfam family "Eukaryotic small subunit ribosomal RNA", at positions 1470 to 1796 of the family's 1831-position model. The record is from RNAcentral.